UAAGCGAGUAGUGAAAUCGUGUGGCUCAACCAUACGGCUAUUACUCGAACUGGCGGGCUCGAGAAUGGUAGAGGUAACUGGAAUUUCUAGUGUAGGAGUGGAAUCCGUAGAUAUUAGAAGGAACACCAAUGGCGUAGGCAGGUUACUGGACCAUUUCUGACGCUGAGGCACGAAAGCGUGGGGAGCGAACCGGAUUAGAUACCCGGGUAGUCCACGCCGUAAACGAUGGAUACUA
This 235-nucleotide ribosomal RNA is filed under the name uncultured Candidatus Saccharibacteria bacterium. RNAcentral describes it as "partial 16S ribosomal RNA". It matches the Rfam family "Bacterial small subunit ribosomal RNA", at positions 584 to 818 of the family's 1533-position model. The record is from RNAcentral. Lineage: Bacteria; Candidatus Saccharimonadota.